This is a non-coding RNA of Camelina sativa (false flax), 581 nucleotides long. The record is from RefSeq and is a predicted model, not a curated record. NCBI's taxonomy places the organism in Eukaryota, Viridiplantae, Streptophyta, Magnoliopsida, Brassicales, Brassicaceae.
CCUUUACCAUCUCCAAAAACAGGGAGAAGAAGAAAUUAGGAGAAUAUAUAUAUAGUUAUUGGAGGAGUAAACAAAAGCAACGUAAUGGAUAAUGGGCGUAAGCUUUCUCGUCUGCCGUAUUGUGAAGGUCGUCUCUAAAUCAAAGCAACUUCAAUCAUUCUCUUCUUUUUUAUUCUUUCUUCACCACCACUAUCCAUCGACCAUCUUUUUCAACCCUUGAUUCAACUAAAUUUGCCGCACAUUCUGAAUUCCUUACAUUUUCUGAUAAUGACAUCUUCAUGUCUAUCAUCAAACCCUCAAUCAUCGCUUUUUGAAAAUUGCGUUUUUUUGUUUUAGUUCUUCUUUAGUAAUAUACAUUCAGUUAUUAAGAAACCGGAGUAUAUAUAUUGUGCAUGCAUAGAAAUUGUUUAUAUGUUCGUUUAAUUUCUAAAAGAGAUUUGGUCAUUUUAUGUGGCAUAUCUCUUUGGUGGAUCUUAUUAUCUUUGAGGUUUCAAUAUCUCUUUAUCUUUGCUCUAUUUGCUUGUAUUUAAGCUUGCAAGUUUGUUAUCUCUUCUGUUGUAAUUUGAUCCGGAUGUUGUGCA